RNAcentral lists this ribosomal RNA (292 nucleotides) under uncultured bacterium. Its description in RNAcentral is "partial 16S ribosomal RNA". It matches the Rfam family "Bacterial small subunit ribosomal RNA", at positions 505 to 796 of the family's 1533-position model. The record is from RNAcentral.
GUGCCAGCAGCCGCGGUAAUACGUAGGGGGCAAGCGUUGUCCGGAUUUACUGGGCGUAAAGAGCGCGUAGGCGGAAGUUUAAGUGUGGCCUGAAAGCCCCCGGCUCAACCGGGGAUCCGGGUUGCAAACUGGACUUCUUGAGGGCGAUAGAGGAGUGUGGAAUUCCUGGUGUAGCGGUGAAAUGCGUAGAGAUCAGGAGGAACACCCGUGGCGAAGGCGGCACUCUGGAUCGACCCUGACGCUGAGGCGCGAAAGCGUGGGGAGCGAACGGGAUUAGAUACCCCUGUAGUCC